GUUGGUUGAAAAUCACACUGACCAUGACCAUGACCGUGGGUGAGACUUAACCCUCUGAGAUUCCAGGGAUGUCAGUGUGAUUCCCAUUGCUUCCAUGUGGGUAAGUGAAAAAAGUGACAAGU
Small nucleolar RNA from Ochotona curzoniae (black-lipped pika), 122 nucleotides. RefSeq annotates it as small nucleolar RNA ACA64. The record is from RefSeq and is a predicted model, not a curated record. Lineage: Eukaryota; Metazoa; Chordata; Mammalia; Lagomorpha; Ochotonidae. The transcript has a single exon.